GAUGAACGCUGGCGGCGUGCCUAAUACAUGCAAGUCGAGCGAACAGACGAGGAGCUUGCUCCUCUGACGUUAGCGGCGGACGGGUGAGUAACACGUGGAUAACCUACCUAUAAGACUGGGAUAACUUCGGGAAACCGGAGCUAAUACCGGAUAAUAUAUUGAACCGCAUGGUUCAAUAGUGAAAGACGGUUUUGCUGUCACUUAUAGAUGGAUCCGCGCCGCAUUAGCUAGUUGGUAAGGUAACGGCUUACCAAGGCAACGAUGCGUAGCCGACCUGAGAGGGUGUUCGGCCACACUGGAACUUAUACCCGGUCCAGACUCCUACUGGAGGCAGCAGUAGGGAUUCUUCCACCAUGGGCGAAAGCUUGACGGAGCAACGCCGCGUGAGUGAUGAAGGUCUUCGGAUCGUAGAACUCUGUUAUUAGGGAAGAGCAAAUGUGUAAGUAACUAUGCACGUCUUGACGGUACCUAGUCAGAGAGCCACGGCUAACUACGUG
This 497-nucleotide ribosomal RNA is filed under the name uncultured bacterium. Its description in RNAcentral is "partial 16S ribosomal RNA". It matches the Rfam family "Bacterial small subunit ribosomal RNA", at positions 28 to 507 of the family's 1533-position model. The record is from RNAcentral.